Molecule: unclassified non-coding RNA, 207 nt
Filed under: Melitaea cinxia (Glanville fritillary)
Lineage: Eukaryota; Metazoa; Arthropoda; Insecta; Lepidoptera; Nymphalidae
Description: misc RNA ENSMCXG00005014283.1
Source: RNAcentral
AGUGUAUCAAUAUAACGUAAUGAAGUAUAAUGUGCAGCCCCAUACGUCGCAAACAGUACAUACUCGCUUAGAGCUUCCUCAGUUAGCCCAAAAGCUGUUCCACGCGGACGAAGUCGCGGGCAGAAGCUAGUAACGAAUAAAGUUACAUUUCAUAACCUUAUUUAUUUUAACACACAUUUCUUACAAAUAAACAUGUACUCUUUGCUC